CAUUAAGUGGCUGAAAGUAAGCAACGGUCUCUUAAACCGUAAUAUAGUAUUUAACGUAUACUCUUAAUGG
This 70-nucleotide transfer RNA is filed under the name Himacerus nodipes. RNAcentral describes it as "tRNA-Lys". It matches the Rfam family "tRNA". From Rfam's summary of the family: Transfer RNA (tRNA) molecules are approximately 80 nucleotides in length. Their secondary structure includes four short double-helical elements and three loops (D, anti-codon, and T loops). Lineage: Eukaryota; Metazoa; Arthropoda; Insecta; Hemiptera; Nabidae. The record is from RNAcentral.